This 440-nucleotide ribosomal RNA is filed under the name uncultured bacterium. RNAcentral's name for it is "bacterial SSU rRNA". It matches the Rfam family "Bacterial small subunit ribosomal RNA", at positions 958 to 1397 of the family's 1533-position model. The record is from RNAcentral.
AACGCGAAGAACCUUACCUGGGCUCGAAAUGUAGUGGAAUCCGGUAGAAAUAUCGGCGUCUAGCAAUAGACCGCUAUAUAGGUGCUGCAUGGCUGUCGUCAGCUCGUGUCGUGAGAUGUUGGGUUAAGUCCCGCAACGAGCGCAACCCUUAUCUACAGUUGCCACCACGCAAGUGGGGAACUCUGUCGAAACCGCCUCGGAUAACGGGGAGGAAGGUGGGGAUGACGUCAAGUCCUCAUGGCCUUUAUGUCCAGGGCUACACACGUGCUACAAUGGCCGGUACAAACCGCUGCAAACCCGCGAGGGGGAGCUAAUCGGAAAAAGCCGGCCUCAGUUCGGAUUGGAGUCUGCAACUCGACUCCAUGAAGCUGGAAUCGCUAGUAAUCGUGGAUCAGCAUGCCACGGUGAAUACGUUCCCGGGCCUUGUACACACCGACAUA